GACCGCCCGCCCCUCCCGGUGCCUUCCCACCCCCGGGCCGAGAGGAGCGGGAGGGCCCCGGGGGCUGCGAGCGGGGGGAGGUGUCCGCCUCCCGGCUGUGCUGCUGGCUCUGAGCGGCCGGGAGGGGCGGGGGGGAAUGACGGGACGCAAGUUUUUUAUCGGAGUGGUCGGGUAUCGGGACGGGCUGCCCGGGGGGCGGGGGGGGUCACCGUCCCCGAAGGAGCUCGGAACUCAGGAAACGUGGCACGGAGGGACGUGGGCAGCGGGAAUGGGGGGCGACGUUGGGUUGGGGAUCCCAGGGGCGCUCCAGUUAAGGGUUCUGUGACGGUCCCUGGGUUUGGGAUUUGCCUGCGAGCUCAGCUGCAGCUGUGAGGGACCUGUUUUAGGCCCCUGGGAUUGGCCAGAUCCCUGCCCUGAGUUUAUGAGAGUGCUUCAUCCUACACCCGGUAUUUCUUUUUGCAGGAAGCGCGUGGGAACAUCAAAACCACAUGACAGUAUCGCCGGCACCAGUUAGCGCAGCUCUCCCAGAGAGCAUUGUGAUACUUCGGGUCCAGAUGGCCUCCUGACGUUCAGAGGUGUGACAAGGUGGAAGGUCAGAGAGAGGGACAGAGAGGAAUGAAUGAGAAAGGAGUUGUGCUUGCCACUGAGAUAAGUGAUGAGAUAGGAGCUCCAGAGUCUCCUAUGCUUACAGAGCAUAGCAUGUACUUGUGCGUGUGCACUUCCCACUUACAGUCAUACAGAAUAUUGCAUAAUAUUGGCAUCUGAACGUAUAGAAUUAUAAAUAGAAUAUAGAAUUGUUUUCAAAGAUAAAAAUGUAGUUUUCCCUCAGUUACAACUAUAGGAUCUUCUGUCUUUCAUUGUAUGUUAAGUGUGGAAUAUCAGAGCAGCCAAGCAUUCCGUAACAAUCUUGUUCUGCAAAGUACUCAAAUUGGACCGGGAUGUGAAGCUUUAAGAACACAGGAAAAGUUUCACUUAAUGCAGAACAGUAACGUUAUGAUGGAUUUUACAUUUCAAAACUUCUCAGUACUCAUUUCUGUGUUUACUUCUUGAAGAAGCUACUGUUAACACAUCGGAACUCAAGGAUAUUAAAUAAAUAAAUAUAUAUAUAUAUAUAUACAUAUAUAUAUUUUUACUGCAUGAAAAGAAAUUGGAGAUAAAUAAAGCAUAUCAUUUUACAUAAAA
Molecule: long non-coding RNA, 1182 nt
Organism: Lagopus leucura (white-tailed ptarmigan)
Lineage: Eukaryota; Metazoa; Chordata; Aves; Galliformes; Phasianidae
Exons: 2
Source: RefSeq, a predicted model, not a curated record